RNAcentral lists this transfer RNA (72 nucleotides) under Cannabis sativa. It matches the Rfam family "tRNA". From Rfam's summary of the family: Transfer RNA (tRNA) molecules are approximately 80 nucleotides in length. Their secondary structure includes four short double-helical elements and three loops (D, anti-codon, and T loops). RNAcentral also lists the same sequence under 5 other names. The record is from Rfam by way of RNAcentral. Lineage: Eukaryota; Viridiplantae; Streptophyta; Magnoliopsida; Rosales; Cannabaceae.
UGGGGCGUGGCCGAGUGGUAAGGCAACGGGUUUUGGUCCCGCUAUUCGGAGGUUCGAAUCCUUCCGUCCCAG